UACCCGGGUUGCGGACAGUGUCUGGUGGGUAGUUUGACUGGGGCGGUCUCCUCCUAAAGAGUAACGGAGGAGCACGAAGGUUGGCUAAUCCUGGUCGGACAUCAGGAGGUUAGUGCAAUGGCAUAAGCCAGCUUGACUGCGAGCGUGACGGCGCGAGCAGGUGCGAAAGCAGGUCAUAGUGAUCCGGUGGUUCUGAAUGGAAGGGCCAUCGCUCAACGGAUAAAAGGUACUCCGGGGAUAACAGGCUGAUACCGCCCAAGAGUUCAUAUCGACGGCGGUGUUUGGCACCUCGAUGUCGGCUCAUCACAUCCUGGGGCUGAAGUAGGUCCCAAGGGUAUGGCUGUUCGCCAUUUAAAGUGGUACGCGAGCUGGGUUUAGAACGUCGUGAGACAGUUCGGUCCCUAUCUGCCGUGGGCGCUGGAGAACUGAGGGGGGCUGCUCCUAGUACGAGAGGACCGGAGUGGACGCAUCACUGGUGUUCGGGUUGUCAUGCCAAUGGCACUGCCCGGUAGCUAAAUGCGGAAGAGAUAAGUGCUGAAAGCAUCUAAGCACGAAACUUGCCCCGAGAUGAGUUCUCCCUGAGACUUAAAGUCUCCUGAAGGAACGUUGAAGACGACGACGUUGAUAGGCCGGGUGUGUAAGCGCAGCGAUGCGUUGAGCUAACCGGUACUAAUGAACCGUGAGGCUUAACCUUACAACGCCGAAG
This 706-nucleotide ribosomal RNA is filed under the name Salmonella enterica. RNAcentral describes it as "bacterial LSU rRNA". It matches the Rfam family "Bacterial large subunit ribosomal RNA", at positions 2237 to 2925 of the family's 2925-position model. Lineage: Bacteria; Pseudomonadati; Pseudomonadota; Gammaproteobacteria; Enterobacterales; Enterobacteriaceae. The record is from RNAcentral.